RNAcentral lists this ribosomal RNA (860 nucleotides) under Pseudomonas neuropathica. RNAcentral describes it as "bacterial SSU rRNA". It matches the Rfam family "Bacterial small subunit ribosomal RNA", at positions 20 to 884 of the family's 1533-position model. The record is from RNAcentral. Lineage: Bacteria; Pseudomonadati; Pseudomonadota; Gammaproteobacteria; Pseudomonadales; Pseudomonadaceae.
UGGCUCAGAUCGAACGCAGCGCAGCAUAGCACAUGCAAGUCGAUCGAUGUCAGGAAGCUUGCUCGUGAUGCAGCGUAGACGGGUGCAGUCAUGCCUAGGAAUCUGCAUGGUAGUGGGGAACAACGUUUGAAAGGAGCGCUCAUACUGCAUACGUCGUGCGGGAGUAAGCAGGGGACCUUCGGUCCUUGCGCUAUCAGAUGAGCCUAGGUCGGAUAGCUAGUUGGUGAGGUAAUGGCUCACCAAGGCGACGAUCUAGUAACUGGUCUGAGAGGAUGAUCAGUCACACGGGAAGUGAGACACGGUCCAGACUCAUACGGGAGGCAGCAGUGGGGAAUAUUGCACAAUGGGAGAAAGCGUGAUCCAGCCAUGCCGCGUGUGUGAAGAAGGUUUUCGGAUUGUAAAUCACUUUAAGUUGGGAGGAAGGGCAGUAAGUUAAUACCAUGUUGUUUUGACGUUCCCGACAGAAUAAGCACCGGCUAACUCUGUGCCAGCAGCCGCGGUAAUACAGAGGGUGCAAGCGUUAAUGGGAAUUACUGGGCGUAAAGCGCGCGUAGGUGGUUCGUUAAUUUGGAUGUGAAAGCCCCGGGCUCAACCUGGGAGCUGCAUCCAAAACGGGCGAGCUAGAGUCCGGUAGAGGGUGGUGGAAUUUCCUGUGUAGCGGUGAAAUGGGUAGAUAUAGGAAGGACCACCAGUGGCGAAGGCGACCUCCUGGACUGAUACUGACAUUGAGGUGCGAAAGCGUGGGGAGCAACCAGGAUUAGAUACCCUGGUAGUCCACCCCGUAAACGAUGUCAACUAGCCGUGGAAUCCUUGAGAUUUAGUGGCGCAGCUAACGCAUAAGUGACCGCCUGGAGACCCCA